This is a long non-coding RNA of Hemicordylus capensis (graceful crag lizard), 444 nucleotides long. RefSeq lists it as uncharacterized. Lineage: Eukaryota; Metazoa; Chordata; Lepidosauria; Squamata; Cordylidae. The record is from RefSeq and is a predicted model, not a curated record. The transcript is spliced from 4 exons.
CUGUCCUUGAGGUUGAGGCUUCCUGGGGCUGGUGUCCCAAGUGCAUGGAUCCAAACGUUCUCUCUUGCUGCAUCCAAUGUUCUGCCACAGAAUCCAACAACAGCAUUGACACACAGUAAGUUAUGGAUAUAGCACCAAGACUAUAUCGAGGCCCUGGAUCUUUCACAAAGACUAUCUUAACUCUUUGUCACUAUUGUCAUAAAGACCUACAAGAGUGGAUUCUGAAUGCGAUAUUUAUUACAGGUUGCAGAUGGGGAUGAAAGGCAGCGGCUUGCCUAAUUAAAAGCUCAGGAUAAAUUCUGAAAAGAAUAAAAUGGAGUCCUGUUCACAACCAUCCCUUAAUGAACCCACACGUCUCAUUUCCUAUCAUCUCACACAGGAAGGAAUGCCAGAGCUUGCCAACUGUAAUUUUCAUGUGCUUGUAUUAAAAAUAGCAAAUAAAUA